AGUAAGAUGCCUGAAACAGUUAAGGACUAUUUUGAUAGAAUAGAAUAUGUAUUUUAUUAUACUCUUACUA
Molecule: transfer RNA, 70 nt
Filed under: Megacopta cribriella
Lineage: Eukaryota; Metazoa; Arthropoda; Insecta; Hemiptera; Plataspidae
Description: tRNA-Ile
Source: RNAcentral